Molecule: ribosomal RNA, 492 nt
Filed under: uncultured bacterium
Lineage: Bacteria
Description: partial 16S ribosomal RNA
Rfam family: Bacterial small subunit ribosomal RNA
Source: RNAcentral
AGUGAACGCUGGCGGUAGGCCUAACACAUGCAAGUCGAACGGCAGCACAGUAAGAGCUUGCUCUUACGGGUGGCGAGUGGCGGACGGGUGAGGAAUACAUCGGAAUCUACUUUUUCGUGGGGGAUAACGUAGGGAAACUUACGCUAAUACCGCAUACGACCUACGGGUGAAAGCAUGGGAUCUUCGGACCUUGCGCGAUUGAAUGAGCCGAUGUCGGAUUAGCUAGUUGGCGGGGUAAAGGCCCACCAAGGCGACGAUCCGUAGCUGGUCUGAGAGGAUGAUCAGCCACACUGGAACUGAGACACGGUCCAGACUCCUACGGGAGGCAGCAGUGGGGAAUAUUGGACAAUGGGCGCAAGCCUGAUCCAGCCAUACCGCGUGGGUGAAGAAGGCCUUCGGGUUGUAAAGCCCUUUUGUUGGGAAAGAAAAGCAGUAGGUUAAUACCCCGCUGUUCUGACGGUACCCAAAGAAUAAGCACCGGCUAACUUCGUG